Long non-coding RNA from Haplochromis burtoni (Burton's mouthbrooder), 1871 nucleotides. RefSeq lists it as uncharacterized. NCBI's taxonomy places the organism in Eukaryota, Metazoa, Chordata, Actinopteri, Cichliformes, Cichlidae. The transcript is spliced from 3 exons. The record is from RefSeq and is a predicted model, not a curated record.
UUCUCGGUGCGUGUGGGGCCGGUGCACAGCAGCCCUUUAAUUGACCCAUCAGCCCGAAAGUAUGUCGGUCCGUUGGUCAAAAUGACUGGUGUGCCAGAUUACCAUCCCAGCCCUGUGUGUUACUCACAUGUGAUAUCCUGAAAAAAUCUCUUCUCUUUACUGAUGCAGACCUGUUUCCCACCAGCAAGGAUGAAGGAGCCAGCUCCACACAAUACUUGGCAAGCUUUCUGAAGGAAAUGAGAAUGGCUCCAUCCAUCCAGCUGAGAGGACACUUCCUGUCUCAGAUGACACUGCAUAGAUCAGGUUGGAGCAGAGAAACGCUUCCUGGCGUCAGAGGUCAUUUCCUAUACGUCCAUACAUCAGGAGAAGAGGACACUUUCUGAAUUCAGAUUUCGAACAUGAGAAUGUGGACUAACGGAGGUGAGGAUUGGACCACCAACUUUCUGAUCAGCAGAUAACCUGUCUGCCUCCCGAGUCCUGGCAGUGGAGGGUUAAUAGGAAGAACCAACAAGUCCUGACAUGUCUUCCUUUAAAGAGAUAUGAUCAGAUUUUGAAAAACUGAUCCUCAAAUAUGAAACGAGCUCACGUGUGUGAGCGCAUUAUUUUACUUUGCAAAGGUCAAAUAUGAAGUAAAGUCUCAGGAGUGUCAUUUCAUCUGCUGAUCAUGUGUAAGAAAAGCUGCUGCAGACAUCAGAUGGUCAUCCAGUGGAAACCUGUCACUCCCAGGCAGGUUUGGCUUCACAUAACUCUAAUCUAUGCUUUAAUCCCUGUCUGCACUGAAGACGGUGGGCUGUCGUUAAUGACGGUGAGAGCUUUCUUUUCCUAAAUGCUGAAUUCAGAAUUAACACGAAGUCAAGUUUUAAUGUGAUUACUCUCAACCUAAAAACCCCAAGUUAAAUCCAAAGAAAAUUUGUGCUUAGUGACACAGAGAGAGGCAAAAGGAUGUCCAUGUGUUCUGAAAAUUCUCUUCAUGCUCUCCCACAAACUGUAGAGCUGAAACUGAAGCAACACUUUGCUAAUUUCUGCCAAACAAUAAAACCAAAAAAACACAUUCAGAUUCAUCUUCAGUAAGAGGCUGCAUUUACUCACAAGAACCAUAACAAAAGUGUUUCGAGAUCAGAGAGGCUAAGGACAAUUACAGGAGGAAGCUGGAGUGGAAGCUCCAGCAGAACAGCAUGAGAAAGGUGUGGAGGGGCAUGAAGACCAUCACUGGAUUCAGGCCAACCAACAGCAGGGGAGCUGAGGGAGGUGAGAAUAGAGCUAACGAGUUGAAUCUGUUUUUCAAUAUAUUCGACACCACAGUGUCUGCUCCCACCCCCACAACCUCACCUGUAGUCAGCCUGGAAUCCAGAGCCACACCACUGUGCCAGCCUCUCUCUUCACAUGGCGCUGUUGCCUCCUGGGAGAUUCCUGACACCCCUCCCCCACCCAUCACCUUCACUCAAUACCAGGUUGAGAUGCAAAUGAGGAGACUUCACUCAGGCAAGUCUGCUGGACCAGAUGGAGUGAGUCCCCUCGUCCUCAAGACCUGUGCCCCCCAGCUGUGUGGACUCUUUCAUAAACUGUUCAUGCUGAGUCUGAAUCUGCAGAGGGUACCAGUGAUGUGGAAGACAUCAUGUCUCGUCCCAGUGGCCCCCAGGAUUACAGGCCCGUGGCACUGACCUCCCACAUCAUGAAGACCCUGGAAAGGCUCAUCCUGGACCAGCUGUGACCCAUAGUAAGACCACAUCUGGAUCCCCUUCAAUUUGCUUAUCAGCCUCGUCUUGGAACUGAGGAUGCCAUCAUCUACCUGCUCAAUCGUGUCUACACCCAUCUGGACCAGCCGGCGAGCACUGUGAGGGUCAUGUUUUUUGACUUUUCCAGUGCUUUCA